CGCUGGCGGCAUGCCUUACACAUGCAAGUCGAACGGUAACAGGUCUUCGGAUGCUGACGAGUGGCGAACGGGUGAGUAAUACAUCGGAACGUGCCCAGUAAUGGGGGAUAGCUCGGCGAAAGCCGGAUUAAUACCGCAUACGCCCUGAGGGGGAAAGUGGGGGAUCGCAAGACCUCACGUUAUUGGAGCGGCCGAUGGCUGAUUAGCUAGUUGGUAGGGUAAAGGCCUACCAAGGCGACGAUCAGUAGCUGGUCUGAGAGGACGAUCAGCCACACUGGGACUGAGACACGGCCCAGACUCCUACGGGAGGCAGCAGUGGGGAAUUUUGGACAAUGGGGGAAACCCUGAUCCAGCAAUGCCGCGUGUGCGAAGAAGGCCUUCGGGUUGUAAAGCACUUUUGUCAGGGAAGAAAUCCUUUGGGCUAAUACCCUAGGGGGAUGACGGUACCUGAAGAAUAAGCACCGGCUAACUACGUGCCAGCAGCCGCGGUAAUACGUAGGGUGCAAGCGUUAAUCGGAAUUACUGGGCGUAAAGCGUGCGCAGGCGGUUGUGUAAGACAGGUGUGAAAUCCCCGGGCUUAACCUGGGAAUUGCAUUUGUGACUGCACGACUAGAGUGUGUCAGAGGGGGGUGGAAUUCCACGUGUAGCAGUGAAAUGCGUAGAUAUGUGGAGGAACACCAAUGGCGAAGGCA
RNAcentral lists this ribosomal RNA (692 nucleotides) under uncultured beta proteobacterium. RNAcentral describes it as "bacterial SSU rRNA". It matches the Rfam family "Bacterial small subunit ribosomal RNA", at positions 34 to 723 of the family's 1533-position model. The record is from RNAcentral. Lineage: Bacteria; Pseudomonadati; Pseudomonadota; Betaproteobacteria.